AGAAUGUCUCUGAAAUGAGAUGAGUGGAAAAUGCCUUAAACAGGUGGAUGUGGAACAGGUCGGGGACUUUAAGGACUUCAGUGGAGGAGGGGUGGGUUGGGGAAGGGAAACAAAUGAAGAUGUCUUAGAAGUCACUGCAAUUUAUAUGGAAUCUGUUCAACGCCGACACUGAACCAUAUGAGAAGACGUUUGAAACUAUUGCUUUGCUGAAAACAUCUGACUGCCAGGCUAGGAUGUGACACUUAAGGGACUUACCAAUUUGGGAUUCUUCCAGGAGCUGAAAACUGAUUGCAAAUAUGAAACAGAUUUCACUACAGGACUUGAACCCUACAUUAAAAAACAACAAGCUCCCCAAAAUAAUUGAAAAAGAUCUUCACCAAAGAGUAGCUGCAAUGUGAAUGGCAGGAUAUGAAGCAAGUAAGAGAGCUAUCACUGCCAAAGGCUACUGACUAAUGGUGAAAAGAUUAUCUUAAGCUUGGAAUUAAGUGAUGAAAGGGACCUUCGAAAUUAUCAACUCUAAAUACUUCUUUACAGGAAAAUUGAAAGCAGUUAAGAACCUGCCCCCUACCGUGGAGUUCUUGGUGCCGUGAGUUGGAGUUCUUGGUGCCUGGGUGCGUCCCCAAGGCCACUGGUCUUCAGAUCUUUCUUACUUGAGAAGAACGCCUCCGCCUCCUGGCUCUCCCACCAGUGGUAUUGCCACCACCACACACCAGCAUAAAGCACAGAUUGCUGCCCAGCUCCUUGGAGAGGGGCCAGUGCAUUUGUCAGGAAUUGAAAAGUUUUGGAGCCAGUUCGAGGACUUUCUCCUGCACAAAGUGUUGGCUGGAAGCAUGAUUAUCUCACACAGAGCGUUGGAAUUACUUCAUGAUGAUUUCAAAGAAAAUUUUCUUCUCUAAACACUCUUAUCCCAAGGGCAUCCUAAAGUUCCUCUGGAAUGCAUUGGGUGGGAGAGAAAGUUCUAUGUCAACUCUUCUGGCAGAGGGAAAAGCUGACCGAGGAAGUCAAAAUGAAAGAAAGAAGCAGACAGGACUGAGGCUCCCUGAGAUGCAGAAACUGAGGCACAGAGCAAGGGGCUAGGAUUCUUGACUUUCUUCUGCAGAACACUGAAACAUGCCUCCUCUUUCCUGGCCCCACCAAGCAGAGUUUAGGCUUCAAGAAGACUGAAUGCAUCUGUACAGAGCACAAUCCCUUCUCCAAGAAGGAAACCAUGGGGCUUAUCAAGAAAGGCGUACACUGAAGAGACUGGAAAGUGAAGAUGCACUAUUUGUCAAGAUGUGCCACAGCAGAAGCAAGUUGUGUUGGCAGUAGGAAACAAGAUAAAGAGAAGAACUCAAAGAAUUGAGAGAAGGCUUUGAACAUGAUGAUGGAGAAAUAACACUCUUGGGAGAAAUGAAGAUACUUUCUCCUCCCUGGUUUACCUGAGUUUCCAGCACCCAGUGAUAAGAAAGGAUGGCAUUAGUGAUGUGUACACCUGCAGUGAUAGCUUCACCUUUCUAAAGCAGAUGCCGUGGUAGACAUUUUGCCAGCCCUCCUUUCACUAUACACACAGCUUGGUGUACGCUGGCAGACUUUUGACCUAAUUUCUUAACCCUCAAAUAUUCCAAGACAGAACAAAGCACACAACAAAACCAGAAUGAGGCCGGGCAAAGUGGCUCAUGCCCGUAAUCCCAGCACUUUGGGAGGCUAAGGGGUGGGCAGAUCACUUGAGGUCAGGAGUUUGAGACCAGCCUAGGCAACAUGGUGAAACCCAGUCUCUACUGAAAAUACAAAAAUCAGCCGGGUGUGGUGGCAAAUGCCUGUAAUCCCAGCUACUGGGGAGGCUGAGACACAAGAAUCACUUGAACCCAGGAGGGGGAGUUUGCAGUGAGCCGAGAUUGUGCCACUGCAUGCCAGUCUGAACAACAGAGCAAGACUCUGUCACAAAAACAAACAAAAAACUGAAUGAAUGGAAGCAGAUAAGUGCAGAGAGAAACACUGAUUUACCUUCAGAAAGAUAAAAAAGUAGUAUAUUGAUAUACUUGUAUAUUGCUAUCUACUAGUAUAGCUUCAGUUGGUGUAUGAGUAUAGAACUAUUGGGUUGUUCUUUAUGUGAUUACUCCUUCCCAGUUUUAGUAAAGUAUUCCAAUUUGAGGGAAAUUCUUUCAUUUGUCAAUAAAAUAAAAAGAGGUAAGUUUUAAAAUCUG
RNAcentral lists this long non-coding RNA (2183 nucleotides) under Homo sapiens (human). RNAcentral describes it as "long intergenic non-protein coding RNA 1122". The record is from RNAcentral. Lineage: Eukaryota; Metazoa; Chordata; Mammalia; Primates; Hominidae.